GGAGGGAUGGCCGAGCGGACGAAGGCGAUCGACUCGAAAUCGAUUAGGGGCCCACAAGGUUCCUCGGGGGUUCGAAUCCCUCUCCCUCCGCUA
RNAcentral lists this transfer RNA (93 nucleotides) under bacterium. RNAcentral's name for it is "tRNA-Ser". It matches the Rfam family "tRNA". From Rfam's summary of the family: Transfer RNA (tRNA) molecules are approximately 80 nucleotides in length. The record is from RNAcentral.